CCUACGGGAGGCUGCAGUGGGGAAUAUUGCACAAUGGGGGAAACCCUGAUGCAGCGACGCCGCGUGAGUGAAGAAGUAUUUCGGUACGUAAAGCUCUAUCAGCAGGGAAGAAAAAAAGUCCUUUGGACUUUGGACGGUACCUGACCAAGAAGCCCCGGCUAACUACGUGCCAGCAGCCGCGGUGAUACGUAGGGGGCAAGCGUUAUCCGAAUUUACUGGGUGUAAAGGGGGCGUAGACGGCAGCGCAAGUCUGGAGUGAAAUGCCGGGGCCCAACCCCGGAAAUGCUUUGGAAACUGGGCAGCUGGAGUGCAGGAGAGGUAAGCGGAAUUCCUAGGGUAGCGGGGAAAUGCGUAGAUAUUAGGAAGAACACCAGUGGCGAAGGCGGCUUACUGGACUGUAACUGACGUUGAGGCUCGAAAGCGUGGGGAGCAAACAGGAUUAGAUACCCGAGUAGUC
This 457-nucleotide ribosomal RNA is filed under the name uncultured bacterium. RNAcentral's name for it is "partial 16S ribosomal RNA". It matches the Rfam family "Bacterial small subunit ribosomal RNA", at positions 338 to 795 of the family's 1533-position model. The record is from RNAcentral.